RNAcentral lists this transfer RNA (75 nucleotides) under Chloroflexota bacterium. RNAcentral describes it as "tRNA-Met". It matches the Rfam family "tRNA". From Rfam's summary of the family: Transfer RNA (tRNA) molecules are approximately 80 nucleotides in length. Their secondary structure includes four short double-helical elements and three loops (D, anti-codon, and T loops). RNAcentral also lists the same sequence under 2 other names. The record is from RNAcentral. Lineage: Bacteria; Bacillati; Chloroflexota.
GGGCCCGUAGCUCAGUGGCAGAGCGGUCGGCUCAUAACCGAUUGGUCGUAGGUUCGAAUCCUGCCGGGCCCACCA